Molecule: ribosomal RNA, 426 nt
Filed under: uncultured Actinomycetes bacterium
Lineage: Bacteria; Bacillati; Actinomycetota; Actinomycetes
Description: uncultured actinobacterium partial 16S ribosomal RNA
Rfam family: Bacterial small subunit ribosomal RNA
Source: RNAcentral
UGGGGAAUCUUGCGCAAUGGGCGAAAGCCUGACGCAGCAACGCCGCGUGAGCGAAGACGGCCUUCGGGUUGUAAAGCUCUGUCAGGAGGGACGAAGCCACUCAGGUGAAUAGCCGAGAGGGUGACGGUACCUCCAGAGGAAGCCCCGGCUAACUACGUGCCAGCAGCCGCGGUAAUACGUAGGGGGCAAGCGUUGUCCGGAAUCAUUGGGCGUAAAGCGCGUGUAGGCGGCCAUCCAAGUCCGAUGUGAAAGCUCGGGGCUCAACCCCGAGUCUGCAUUGGAAACUGGAUGGCUUGAGUCCGGAAGAGGAGACUGGAAUUCCUGGUGUAGCGGUGAAAUGCGCAGAUAUCAGGAAGAACACCGGUGGCGAAGGCGGGUCUCUGGGACGGUACUGACGCUGAGACGCGAAAGCGUGGGGAGCAAACA